CAUAUCUAUAAAUAUGGGCUUUUCAACCAGAAACAUUAUAUUUUCAACUGGCAGAGAGCACAAGGAAUUCUCACUCAACCACGACGACAGGGAUCUGAGAUUGGGGGCUUAAGAGUUAAAAAAAAAGACUCUUUCAGAGCUCAAAAGUUGGAGAAGAUUGAGCAGAAGAAGAAGAAAAGAAAAUGCAAAGGCCCGUACACAUGCGGUCAGAUUGAUUCUUGAGACAUGUGUUACCCAAUGAUGAAUGGUUGGUGAUCCGCCUGAGGGGAGUCUGAAGACUCAGUACUAGCCCGCUGAUUCUUGAAAUUGAUGCACGCGCCGCAGCCAUCGGGGCCCUGAGUAUUUGUGCGGAGGCAAUUAUCGGGACGGAAGCCGUGACGUGAGUAAAUAUUGGCUGUGGCGAUGAGGAGCAGAAUGAUGAUAUGGGUGGCGAUGAACGUGUGGGGGACACUCAGCGCUUGGCUCUCCGCCUGCUUCUUGCUGGCUGAGGAGAUUGCUCAUUCUCUCGAUGGCCCUGAGGAACGGUACUGACUACCCGGGGCAAAAGGAGCACGAAGCCAUCUCUAAUGCUGUGAUCGUGUUUGUAUAGCUAGUCCCUUCUCGACCAUCGGGGGCAUAAUUUGUAAAUACACGAUAUAAUAUGCAAUCGACCAUCUCUUCCUAAUUAAGAGCA
Non-coding RNA from Punica granatum (pomegranate), 673 nucleotides. The record is from RefSeq and is a predicted model, not a curated record. Lineage: Eukaryota; Viridiplantae; Streptophyta; Magnoliopsida; Myrtales; Lythraceae.